RNAcentral lists this unclassified non-coding RNA (217 nucleotides) under plant metagenome. RNAcentral describes it as "partial contains small subunit ribosomal RNA, internal transcribed spacer 1, and 5.8S ribosomal RNA". The record is from RNAcentral.
UCUCCGUAGGUGAACCUGCGGAGGGAUCAUUACAAGUGAACCCGGUCUUACCACCGUGAUGUUCGUAACCCUUUGUUGUCCGACGCUGUUGCCUCCGGGUCGACCCUGCCUUCGGGCGGGGGCGCCGGGUGGACACUUCAAACUCUUUCUUAACUUUUCAGUCUGAGUAAACUUAAUUAAUAAAUUAAAACUUUUAACAACGGAUCUCUUGGUUCUG